This 492-nucleotide ribosomal RNA is filed under the name uncultured bacterium. Its description in RNAcentral is "partial 16S ribosomal RNA". It matches the Rfam family "Bacterial small subunit ribosomal RNA", at positions 29 to 507 of the family's 1533-position model. The record is from RNAcentral.
AGUGAACGCUGGCGGUAGGCCUAACACAUGCAAGUCGAACGGCAGCACAGUAAGAGCUUGCUCUUACGGGUGGCGAGUGGCGGACGGGUGAGGAAUACAUCGGAAUCUACUUUUUCGUGGGGGAUAACGUAGGGAAACUUACGCUAAUACCGCAUACGACCUACGAGUGAAAGCAGGGGAUCUUCGGACCUUGCGCGAUUGAAUGAGCCGAUGUCGGAUUAGCUAGUUGGCGGGGUAAAGGCCCACCAAGGCGACGAUCCGUAGCUGGUCUGAGAGGAUGAUCAGCCACACUGGAACUGAGACACGGUCCAGACUCCUACGGGAGGCAGCAGUGGGGAAUAUUGGACAAUGGGCGCAAGCCUGAUCCAGCCAUAUCGCGUGGGUGAAGAAGGCCUUCGGGUUGUAAAGCCCUUUUGUUGGGAAAGAAAAGCAGCAGGUUAAUACCCCGCUGUUCUGACGGUACCCAAAGAAUAAGCACCGGCUAACUUCGUG